Molecule: ribosomal RNA, 828 nt
Filed under: uncultured bacterium
Lineage: Bacteria
Description: bacterial SSU rRNA
Rfam family: Bacterial small subunit ribosomal RNA
Source: RNAcentral
UUACACGGAAUCCCUCGGGAGGAAGUGUGAAUGACUGAGUGGCGGACGGGUGAGUAACGCGUGGGCAACCUGCCCCGUACCGGGGGAUAACAGCCGGAAACGGCUGCUAAUACCGCAUAUGCUUUGCGGGCCGCAUGGCCCGCAAAGCAAAACUCCGGUGGUACGGGAUGGGCCCGCGUCUGAUUAGCUGGUUGGCGGGGUAACGGCCCACCAAGGCGACGAUCAGUAGCCGGCCUGAGAGGGCGGCCGGCCACAUUGGGACUGAGACACGGCCCAGACUCCUGCGGGAGGCAGCAGUGGGGAAUAUUGCACAAUGGGGGAAACCCUGAUGCAGCGACGCCGCGUGGGCGAGGAAGUACCUCGGUAUGUAAAGCCCUAUCAGCAGGGAAGAAACAGGACAGUACCUGACUAAGAAGCCCCGGCUAGCUACGUGCCAGCAGCCGCGGUAAUACGUAGGGGGCAAGCGUUAUCCGGAUUCACUGGGCGUAAAGGGAGCGCAGGCGGCAUGGCAAGUCUGAUGUGAAAACCCGGGGCCCAACCCCGGGAGUGCAUUGGAAACUGCCAGGCUGGAGUGUCGGAGGGGUAAGCGGAAUUCCUAGUGUAGCGGUGAAAUGCGUAGAUAUUAGGAGGAACACCAGUGGCGAAGGCGGCUUACUGGACGACUACUGACGCUGAGGCUCGAAAGCGUGGGGAGCAAACAGGAUUAGAUACCCUGGUAGUCCACGCCGUAAACGAUGAAUACCAGGUGUCGGCGGGCACGGCCCGCCGGUGCCGCAGCAAACGCAGUAAGUAUUCCGCCUGGGGAGUACGUUCGCAAGAAUGAAACUC